AGUGCCGGCGAUUUUUGCUCAUUUUGUGGAAAACCCCUAAAAAAGUCACUUAUUUAGAAAACUCCUUCCACCUAUGACCUCUCUCACAAGUCGUCUUCCCCUUUCCUCACGCCCACGCGAUGCCGUCGCCACCGCCGCCUGCCGCUCCGGCCACCGCCGGCUGAAUCUUCCGCGGCAGCUGGCCGGUAAUACAACGUCGCCAUCUCCUCCCUUGGUUCCCCGCCGUUGCGGCCCUCUCCAGCACCCACGCGCAAGCGCCCGUGAAACCCUAGCCGUGGAGGCGGCGUGCCCGCCCGGCACCGAGCGCACUCUCCGUAGGAUCCCUCGCCGCCAUGGGCUGCUUCCUCUCCUGCUUCCGCGGCCGCCCCGGCAGCGCCUCCGGCGACGGCCGCCCCGGCAGCGUCUCCGGCGACGGCCUCCAGGACCCGCUCGUGCGCGCGAGCAGCCUCGGGGACGCCUUCCUGGACGACCGCGACGACGACGCAGCAAAACUUGCAGCGGGCGGAGACCUGGAUGAGGAUUUGGGGAACUGUGACGACGAACUCAGGCGAGAGGGAUUAAAGUUCUAGAGAUAUAGAUAGAAAUGUUGCUCAAGAUGCUCGAAGGAAUUCAUAACAAUCAAGUUCACAAGGAUUCAACUCCAGCAGAUACUACUCACAUCGAGCUUGUGGUGUCUGCUGGUUUUGUUCUAUUUUUCGAUUUUGUUGCUGGUCCUUUUCCUGCUAUCGGUGAGCUUUUGGUCAUGUGUGCUGGACAACAUUGCCAGUGGGUCACAGGGGCCGGGAAGGAAACGGCGUGGAAUGGUCGAUCCCGAGGGUGCAGAGGUGCUUUGAGCUCCGCCUCUCUGACCGCCACAUCCUAAAGUUCAGUUACGCGUGUGUAAUUAUGGUUCAGUUCCAUGCACCAAUCAUGGAUACCUCUACCAAGUCGUUCUCGCCGUUUGGUAUGGAGGUCUUUCUCCUCGACAUGAAACUCGCAUCUGAAUCUGUCCCCAUGGAUUUGGGAGCCCCGACCUAAUUUACCAUGUUCGCAUCCAGGUAACACACACCAGUGAUAUCACCAAUCCUCCUUGAUUUUACAGAGUUCAUAUAGGAUGCCUCUUUUGCUGGUAACAAAUGAAGUAUAAACUUUUUGUCUGUUGUUUUAGUUGAGGGACAUGACAGAUUAGGUUUUAGUUUUCAUAUAUGACCAAUAUUGAUUGAUUCCAUAAUACUGAUUUAUUACAACUUUUUACUAAAUCAGAGUCAAUUAAUAGGGAACACAGGGAGUACUUGCUUGCUUAUAUCACACCCUUUUCAUGCUACCCCCUUCAAAAAAAAGAUUGGCAAUUGAAAUUCUUUGGACUAAUCAACAGUUGACAAAAAACAUUCAACCUGCUGUCGACGAUGUCCAGUCUUAUUCACUUGCAUUUCUUUUCACAUUUAAUGACAUGACACUUUCCUUUGAAUCUUUUACUAGUUCAUUGCUCUCUGAUCUGCUUAUAUUUUGAUUAGUUUUUAUUUAACCUUUUGUUGUGUAGAAUAAGAUUGUAUAGGGAUCUGUCGAUGUCGAACUAUUCUUAGAGGCUGCACUUGGUUUAUAUUAUGGGAAAGUAAACAAACCUGACAGGCUAAAGGUGAUCAUUGUAUUGCUUACUGCUUAGGGACAUGUUACAGUUACACAAUCAAACAUGAAUUGGAUUUAUUGUGUUCUCAGCUACUCAACUUACCUCUAAUUCGGAACAUACAUUCUGUAGGCUCUUUUACUUCUUGCACGCUCCAUUGAGGCAGAUCCAAGCACAAUUAUUCCGUGGGUGUUUUAUCUUCAUAUUUACUAUCAAAAGGAUGAAGGACUUGGAACAUUUUCAGUGAACUGCAGGAGGGUGGGUGGAGGGCGGAGGGCGCGCUCACCGGUGCUCUGGCAUCAUGCUCGACGUGAACCUGGUUGUGGCGUCGGGGACGUGAACCUGGUUGUGGCGUCGGAUGCAUGGCGCGGAUGGCGCAACUUCCUCUGGCCGCACGACGAGGCAUCUGGCCGCGCAGCGAGGCAGGGCCCAAACUCCAUGACAACUUUCUUCCUCGGCGGCAGAUGAACCCUGUUGUUCAUGAUGAGGAGAUCAACCCUGUUGUGUAUUUUAUCUAAUGGUUUCAAACCAUGUUGUUCAUGAUGUGGAGAUGAACCCUGUUGGUCAUGUAAGUUAGAUGCCUGGAUUGUGAAUCCUUGAAUGUUUCAAAAUAUUGGUUUCAAACCUAGAUUGCUUGGAAAUAUUGGUUUUAAACA
Molecule: non-coding RNA, 2259 nt
Organism: Lolium perenne
Lineage: Eukaryota; Viridiplantae; Streptophyta; Magnoliopsida; Poales; Poaceae
Source: RefSeq, a predicted model, not a curated record